This 2905-nucleotide ribosomal RNA is filed under the name Escherichia coli. RNAcentral's name for it is "23S ribosomal RNA". It matches the Rfam family "Bacterial large subunit ribosomal RNA". Lineage: Bacteria; Pseudomonadati; Pseudomonadota; Gammaproteobacteria; Enterobacterales; Enterobacteriaceae. The record is from RNAcentral.
GGUUAAGCGACUAAGCGUACACGGUGGAUGCCCUGGCAGUCAGAGGCGAUGAAGGACGUGCUAAUCUGCGAUAAGCGUCGGUAAGGUGAUAUGAACCGUUAUAACCGGCGAUUUCCGAAUGGGGAAACCCAGUGUGUUUCGACACACUAUCAUUAACUGAAUCCAUAGGUUAAUGAGGGCGAACCGGGGGAACUGAAACAUCUAAGUACCCCGAGGAAAAGAAAUCAACCGAGAUUCCCCCAGUAGCGGCGAGCGAACGGGGAGGAGCCCAGAGCCUGAAUCAGUAUGUGUGUUAGUGGAAGCGUCUGGAAAGGCGCGCGAUACAGGGUGACAGCCCCGUACACAAAAAUGCACAUAUUGUGAGCUCGAUGAGUAGGGCGGGACACGUGGUAUCCUGUCUGAAUAUGGGGGGACCAUCCUCCAAGGCUAAAUACUCCUGACUGACCGAUAGUGAACCAGUACCGUGAGGGAAAGGCGAAAAGAACCCCGGCGAGGGGAGUGAAAAAGAACCUGAAACCGUGUACGUACAAGCAGUGGGAGCACGCUUAGGCGUGUGACUGCGUACCUUUUGUAUAAUGGGUCAGCGACUUAUAUUCUGUAGCAAGGUUAACCGAAUAGGGGAGCCGAAGGGAAACCGAGUCUUAACUGGGCGUUAAGUUGCAGGGUAUAGACCCGAAACCCGGUGAUCUAGCCAUGGGCAGGUUGAAGGUUGGGUAACACUAACUGGAGGACCGAACCGACUAAUGUUGAAAAAUUAGCGGAUGACUUGUGGCUGGGGGUGAAAGGCCAAUCAAACCGGGAGAUAGCUGGUUCUCCCCGAAAGCUAUUUAGGUAGCGCCUCGUGAAUUCAUCUCCGGGGGUAGAGCACUGUUUCGGCAAGGGGGUCAUCCCGACUUACCAACCCGAUGCAAACUGCGAAUACCGGAGAAUGUUAUCACGGGAGACACACGGCGGGUGCUAACGUCCGUCGUGAAGAGGGAAACAACCCAGACCGCCAGCUAAGGUCCCAAAGUCAUGGUUAAGUGGGAAACGAUGUGGGAAGGCCCAGACAGCCAGGAUGUUGGCUUAGAAGCAGCCAUCAUUUAAAGAAAGCGUAAUAGCUCACUGGUCGAGUCGGCCUGCGCGGAAGAUGUAACGGGGCUAAACCAUGCACCGAAGCUGCGGCAGCGACGCUUAUGCGUUGUUGGGUAGGGGAGCGUUCUGUAAGCCUGCGAAGGUGUGCUGUGAGGCAUGCUGGAGGUAUCAGAAGUGCGAAUGCUGACAUAAGUAACGAUAAAGCGGGUGAAAAGCCCGCUCGCCGGAAGACCAAGGGUUCCUGUCCAACGUUAAUCGGGGCAGGGUGAGUCGACCCCUAAGGCGAGGCCGAAAGGCGUAGUCGAUGGGAAACAGGUUAAUAUUCCUGUACUUGGUGUUACUGCGAAGGGGGGACGGAGAAGGCUAUGUUGGCCGGGCGACGGUUGUCCCGGUUUAAGCGUGUAGGCUGGUUUUCCAGGCAAAUCCGGAAAAUCAAGGCUGAGGCGUGAUGACGAGGCACUACGGUGCUGAAGCAACAAAUGCCCUGCUUCCAGGAAAAGCCUCUAAGCAUCAGGUAACAUCAAAUCGUACCCCAAACCGACACAGGUGGUCAGGUAGAGAAUACCAAGGCGCUUGAGAGAACUCGGGUGAAGGAACUAGGCAAAAUGGUGCCGUAACUUCGGGAGAAGGCACGCUGAUAUGUAGGUGAGGUCCCUCGCGGAUGGAGCUGAAAUCAGUCGAAGAUACCAGCUGGCUGCAACUGUUUAUUAAAAACACAGCACUGUGCAAACACGAAAGUGGACGUAUACGGUGUGACGCCUGCCCGGUGCCGGAAGGUUAAUUGAUGGGGUCAGCGCAAGCGAAGCUCUUGAUCGAAGCCCCGGUAAACGGCGGCCGUAACUAUAACGGUCCUAAGGUAGCGAAAUUCCUUGUCGGGUAAGUUCCGACCUGCACGAAUGGCGUAAUGAUGGCCAGGCUGUCUCCACCCGAGACUCAGUGAAAUUGAACUCGCUGUGAAGAUGCAGUGUACCCGCGGCAAGACGGAAAGACCCCGUGAACCUUUACUAUAGCUUGACACUGAACAUUGAGCCUUGAUGUGUAGGAUAGGUGGGAGGCUUUGAAGUGUGGACGCCAGUCUGCAUGGAGCCGACCUUGAAAUACCACCCUUUAAUGUUUGAUGUUCUAACGUUGACCCGUAAUCCGGGUUGCGGACAGUGUCUGGUGGGUAGUUUGACUGGGGCGGUCUCCUCCUAAAGAGUAACGGAGGAGCACGAAGGUUGGCUAAUCCUGGUCGGACAUCAGGAGGUUAGUGCAAUGGCAUAAGCCAGCUUGACUGCGAGCGUGACGGCGCGAGCAGGUGCGAAAGCAGGUCAUAGUGAUCCGGUGGUUCUGAAUGGAAGGGCCAUCGCUCAACGGAUAAAAGGUACUCCGGGGAUAACAGGCUGAUACCGCCCAAGAGUUCAUAUCGACGGCGGUGUUUGGCACCUCGAUGUCGGCUCAUCACAUCCUGGGGCUGAAGUAGGUCCCAAGGGUAUGGCUGUUCGCCAUUUAAAGUGGUACGCGAGCUGGGUUUAGAACGUCGUGAGACAGUUCGGUCCCUAUCUGCCGUGGGCGCUGGAGAACUGAGGGGGGCUGCUCCUAGUACGAGAGGACCGGAGUGGACGCAUCACUGGUGUUCGGGUUGUCAUGCCAAUGGCACUGCCCGGUAGCUAAAUGCGGAAGAGAUAAGUGCUGAAAGCAUCUAAGCACGAAACUUGCCCCGAGAUGAGUUCUCCCUGACCCUUUAAGGGUCCUGAAGGAACGUUGAAGACGACGACGUUGAUAGGCCGGGUGUGUAAGCGCAGCGAUGCGUUGAGCUAACCGGUACUAAUGAACCGUGAGGCUUAACCUU